This 603-nucleotide ribosomal RNA is filed under the name Sulabanus cordatus. Its description in RNAcentral is "partial 16S ribosomal RNA". It matches the Rfam family "Bacterial large subunit ribosomal RNA", at positions 1816 to 2714 of the family's 2925-position model. The record is from RNAcentral. Lineage: Eukaryota; Metazoa; Arthropoda; Insecta; Coleoptera; Lycidae.
CAUGUCUUUUUGAUUAUAAUUUAAGGUCUAAUCUGCUCAAUGAUUAUAUUAAAUUGCCGCAGUAUUUUGACUGUGCAAAGGUAGCAUAAUAAUUAGUUUCUUAAUUAGGAACUGGGAUGAAUGAUUGGACAAGAAAAUUUCUGUCUCUCUUUUAAAAUUUGAAUUUUAUUUUUAAGUGAAAAAGCUUAAAUUUUUAUAAAAGACGAGAAGACCCUAUAGAGUUUAAUAAAUUAAUUAAAUUAAUUUUUAGUAAUACUUAUUGUAAUAAUUUAUUUAGUUGGGGUGACUAAAAGAUAAAAAAAAUUCUUUAAUUAUUAAGUUAAUAAUUUUUAAUUUUUAUAUUUAAAAUUGUUAAAUUUAAAAUAAAUUACCUUAGGGAUAACAGCGUAAUUUUUCUUAAAAGUUCUUAUUUAAAGGAAAGUUUGCGACCUCGAUGUUGGAUUAAAAUUAAUUUUUGGUGCAAUAACUUAAAAAUUAGGUCUGUUCGACCUUUAAAAUUUUACAUGAUCUGAGUUUAAACCGGUGUAAACCAGGUUGGAUUCUAUCUUUAGAAAAUAAGAUAUAUUUUAGUACGAAAGGACCAAAUAUAUAUUAAAUUAAUUG